Molecule: ribosomal RNA, 497 nt
Filed under: uncultured bacterium
Lineage: Bacteria
Description: partial 16S ribosomal RNA
Rfam family: Bacterial small subunit ribosomal RNA
Source: RNAcentral
GAUGAACGCUGGCGGCGUGCCUAAUACAUGCAAGUCGAGCGAACGGACGAGAAGCUUGCUUCUCUGAUGUUAGCGGCGGACGGGUGAGUAACACGUGGAUAACCUACCUAUAAGACUGGGAUAACUUCGGGAAACCGGAGCUAAUACCGGAUGAUAUUUUGAACCGCAUGGUUCAAAAGUGAAAGACGGUCUUGCUGUCACUUAUAGAUGGAUCCGCGCUGCAUUAGCUAGUUGGUAAGGUAAUGGCUUACCAAGGCAACGAUGCAUAGCCGACCUGAGAGGGGGAUCGGCCACACUGGAACGGAGACACGGUCCAGACUCCUACGGGAGGCAGCAGUAGGGAAUCUUCCGCAAUGGGCGAAAGCCUGACGGAGCAACGCCGCGUGAGUGAUGAAGGUCUUCGGAUCGUAAAACUCUGUUAUUAGGGAAGAACAUAUGUGUAAGUAACUGUGCACAUCUUGACGGUACCUAAUCAGAAAGCCACGGCUAACUACGUG